AAAAAGACAAACCCUGGUUUCCGUGCCCAACAUUUGACCGUCCGUCUUAUUUGAAAAAAUUAUAAAAAAAAAUUAAAAAGACAAGUCACGCAUAAAAUAUUAAUCAUAUUUUAUCAUCUAACAACAAUAAAAAUACGAAUUAUAAAAAAAUUUCAUAUAAAACGGACAAUCAAAGUUGGACACGGAAACCCAGGGUUUAUCUUUUU
This 206-nucleotide microRNA precursor is filed under the name Oryza nivara. RNAcentral's name for it is "MIR812 microRNA precursor family". It matches the Rfam family "MIR812 microRNA precursor family". The record is from Rfam by way of RNAcentral. Lineage: Eukaryota; Viridiplantae; Streptophyta; Magnoliopsida; Poales; Poaceae.